Molecule: unclassified non-coding RNA, 143 nt
Filed under: uncultured Devriesia
Lineage: Eukaryota; Fungi; Ascomycota; Dothideomycetes; Mycosphaerellales; Teratosphaeriaceae
Description: sequence contains ITS1
Source: RNAcentral
CCAGAGAUGGCGGGCCCCCGCGCCCCCGUCCCCAACCCUUUGUUGACCAACCACUUUUGCCUCGGGGGCAGAGCGGCCUCCGCCGCCCCCGGUGGACCAUACAACCCUGUCUCUGUACGUCGGAGUCUUUGAUAAAUAAAUAA